RNAcentral lists this unclassified non-coding RNA (314 nucleotides) under Hevea brasiliensis (rubber tree). The record is from RNAcentral. Lineage: Eukaryota; Viridiplantae; Streptophyta; Magnoliopsida; Malpighiales; Euphorbiaceae.
UACAGCAUAAUCUUCCUCUUAAUACUCCAUACGCAAAACCCAAAAAAAAAAAGUUUUUUUUUAAAGCUAAAAAUGAAGUCUUUAGAAAAACCCAAGUAUGAAAUAGUUGAAUAAUAAGUGUGAAGCAAGAAUCUUGAAAACAAAAGUUAAAGACAUAAAACUAAAGCUAGUAAGCUGCAGUGUUUGUGGGUCUGUUUUAAAAUUUGUGAUAGAGAAAUAUUAGGGAAGUUUGUUGAAUUUCCGGUACCGGAACGGUGGAAUUGGGAGAGAGAGAGAAGCGUAAAGUGUAAAACAGUUCAAAAAUGGAAAAGGGG